AUGAAGAAUAGAAGGUUGGUCCAUAGAAGGGCGAGCGACAAGCUAUCGAUCACGCUGUUGAUCGACACCAAGGCAGCCAAGGUUUGUUUCGCCGAGGCUGGCAACGACGUCGUCGAGUUCCUGUCGGGCCUCCUCUCACUGCCGCUGGGCAGCAUCAGCAACCUGCUCACCCAAGAGCGCAUCGCCGGCAGCUUCGGUAAUUUGCUUGCGAGCGUGGAGAUGCGGGAUGCUGAUUACAAGGGCAAGGAGCAGCACCUGAGCCCGGCUGUCGCCCAGGCCACGCUCUGCCGCCUGGAGGAGCUGCUAGGCACCGAGCUGAGCAACUGCAACACCCACUUCUACACCUGUGUAAAUAAGAACACCGGCAGAAGCUGUGGAUUUCUCUCGGCCCGCAGUGGCAGUGCCUGCCCCGCCUGCAAAGGUAGAAUGUUCGAUCCUAUGUUUCUCUCCAGCGAGAAUGAGGAGGUGGCGACAGCUGGCAGGAAGUGGCGGGCAUCUGCGUACACCAUCAAGGACGACCUCUGGGUGAGUCCGGCGCCCAGCCUGCUGUCGGGCAUCACAUUGCUUGCGCAUUGCGGCGUCCAGGACCUCAGCGUGCUGGAGAGGAAGACCGUCAAGAUCGGCAAGGAAGAGGCGUUGGGGAUACUUGCUGCUGCCCUCAAGUCCAAGAGCGUCCUCACUGAUGUCUUCCUGCCAAAGAAGAAUGCACGCUGCAAGAGGGAACCUCCUGAGGAAGUCAGCCACGUGUGA
RNAcentral lists this ribosomal RNA (750 nucleotides) under Triticum aestivum (bread wheat). Its description in RNAcentral is "partial small subunit ribosomal RNA". Lineage: Eukaryota; Viridiplantae; Streptophyta; Magnoliopsida; Poales; Poaceae. The record is from RNAcentral.